GGUUACUUAUCACUUUCGCUUAGCCACUCAGAAUUGCUUCCGAACAGCUAGUAACCAUCGUUUACGGCGUAGACUACCAGGGUAUCUAAUCCUGUUCGCUACCUACGCUUUCGUCCAUCAGCGUCAAUGACUUAUUAGUGAUCUGCCUUCGCAAUCGGUGUUCUAUGUAAUAUCUAUGCAUUUCACCGCUACACUACAUAUUCCAACCACUUCAUAAGUAUUCAAGAACAACAGUAUCAAUGGCAAUUCUAUGGUUGAGCCACAGACUUUCACCGCUGACUGAUUGUCCCGCCUACGGACCCUUUAAACCCAAUGAUUCCGGAUAACGCUUGGAUCCUCCGUAUUACCGCGGCUGCUGGCACGGAGUUAGCCGAUCCUUAUUCGUAGAGUACCGUCAAGCUCCUACACGUAGGAGUGUUUCUUCCUCUAUAAAAGCAGUUUACAACCCAUAGGGCCGUCUUCCUGCACGCGGCAUGGCUGGAUCAGGCUCUCGCCCAUUGUCCAAUAUUCCUCACUGCUGCCUCCCGUAGGAGUCUGGUCCGUGUCUCAGUACCAGUGUGGGGGAUCUCCCUCUCAGGACCCCUAUCUAUCGAAGUCUAGGUAAGCCGUUACCUUACCUACUAACUAAUAGAACGCAUACUCAUCUUGUAGCCAUAAAUGUUUAAUUAUCAAAUAAUGCUAUCUAAUAAUACUAUGGGGCAUUAAUCCAAAUUUCUCUGGGCUAUUCCCCUCUACAAGGUAGAUUGUAUACGCGUUACGCACCCGUGCGCCGGUCGUCGGCGGUGCAAGCACCCCGUUACCCCUCGACUUGCAUGUGUUAAGCCUG
Molecule: ribosomal RNA, 826 nt
Filed under: Flavobacteriaceae bacterium ACEMC 7-2
Lineage: Bacteria; Pseudomonadati; Bacteroidota; Flavobacteriia; Flavobacteriales; Flavobacteriaceae
Description: partial 16S ribosomal RNA
Source: RNAcentral